RNAcentral lists this ribosomal RNA (429 nucleotides) under Gemmatimonadota bacterium. Its description in RNAcentral is "Gemmatimonadetes bacterium partial 16S ribosomal RNA". It matches the Rfam family "Bacterial small subunit ribosomal RNA", at positions 355 to 776 of the family's 1533-position model. Lineage: Bacteria; Pseudomonadati; Gemmatimonadota. The record is from RNAcentral.
UAGGGAAUCUUCGGCAAUGGACGAAAGUCUGACCGAGCAACGCCGCGUGAGUGAAGAAGGCUUUCGGAUCGUAAAACUCUGUUGUUAGAGAAGAACAAGGACGUUAGUAACUGAACGUCCCCUGACGGUAUCUAACCAGAAAGCCACGGCUAACUACGUGCCAGCAGCCGCGGUAAUACUUAUGUGGCAAGCGUUGUCCGGAUUUAUUGGGCGUAAAGCGAGCGCAGGCGGUUUCUUAAGUCUGAUGUGAAAGCCCCCGGCUCAACCGGGGAGGGUCAUUAGAAACUGGGAGACUUGAGUGCAGAAGAGGAGAGUGGAAUUCCAUGGGUAGCGGUGAAAUGCGUAGAGAUAUGGAGGAACACCAGUGGCGAAGGCGGCUCUCUGGUCUGUAACUGAAGCUGAGGCUCGAAAGCGUGGGGAGCAAACAGG